CACGGGGGGAGCAAGCGUUGUUCGGAAUCACUGGGCGUAAAGGGCGUGUAGGCGGUCAGGUAAGUGUGAUGUGAAAUCCCUCGGCUCACCCGAGGACCGGCAUCGCAUACUGCUUGGCUUGAGUACGGGAGAGGAUGUGGGAAUUCCUGGUGUAGCGGUGAAAUGCGUAGAUAUCAGGAGGAACACCGGUGGCGAAGGCGCACAUCGGGACCUGACUGACGCUCAUGUACGAAAGCGUGGGGAGCAAACAGG
Molecule: ribosomal RNA, 252 nt
Filed under: uncultured bacterium
Lineage: Bacteria
Description: partial 16S ribosomal RNA
Rfam family: Bacterial small subunit ribosomal RNA
Source: RNAcentral